This 319-nucleotide unclassified non-coding RNA is filed under the name fungal sp. RNAcentral's name for it is "partial internal transcribed spacer region". The stretch from base 1 to 46 matches the Rfam family "Eukaryotic small subunit ribosomal RNA", at positions 1786 to 1831 of the family's 1831-position model. The record is from RNAcentral. Lineage: Eukaryota; Fungi.
AAGUCGUAACAAGGUAACCGUAGGUGAACCUGCGGUUGGAUCAUUUACGAUCUGUACCCUGACAAAGGGUCGAUCCACAACUGUGCACCUGUCGACGUACUUGGCGGCGGGAUGAAUCUGCAUACACGUUGGUUCCCUUCGAUUCUGUAGAUUCGGAAUGAAGGAAGCUCGUGGAGUGGAGUAGUCCGCGUCGGAUGUCGUAAUCGGCUCCGGCGUAUGCCGUCUGUGAAAUGAACAUCUUACACUUUUGACUAAACCAUCAAGUCACGCAAGUGAUUAAAAUCCAAAACAACUUUCGACAAUGGAUCUCUUGGCUCUC